Ornithorhynchus anatinus (platypus) is the source of this 138-nucleotide small nucleolar RNA. The record is from RefSeq and is a predicted model, not a curated record. NCBI's taxonomy places the organism in Eukaryota, Metazoa, Chordata, Mammalia, Monotremata, Ornithorhynchidae.
GCCCUCUCAGGAUCGCACCUGGAGAGUUUCCAGUACUCUACCGGUCUCAACUAUGGGAUGGAGAGUCAAGCAGAGGCAUAAUCAUUCCACUCCUAGCCUGAGCAGUGGCUAGCGAGUGGAAGGCAAUCUGCCACAAGG